This 377-nucleotide unclassified non-coding RNA is filed under the name plant metagenome. Its description in RNAcentral is "partial contains 5.8S ribosomal RNA, internal transcribed spacer 2, and large subunit ribosomal RNA". The stretch from base 1 to 105 matches the Rfam family "5.8S ribosomal RNA", at positions 50 to 154 of the family's 154-position model. The record is from RNAcentral.
GAAAUGCGAUAAGUAAUGUGAAUUGCAGAAUUCAGUGAAUCAUCGAAUCUUUGAACGCACCUUGCGCUCCUUGGUAUUCCUUGGAGCAUGCCUGUUUGAGUAUCAUGAAAUCUUCAAAGUAAAUCUUUUGUUAACUCAAUUGGUUUCUACUUUGGUAUUGGAGGUCUUUGCAGCUUCACACCUGCUCCUCUUUGUUCAUUAGCUGGAUCUCAGUGUUAUGCUUGGUUCCACUCGGCGUGAUAAGUAUCUAUCGCUGAGGACACUGUAAAAGGUGGCCAAGGUAAAUGCAGAUGAACCGCUUCUAAUAGUCCAUUGACUUGGACAAUACUUUUAUGAUCUGAUCUCAAAUCAGGUAGGACUACCCGCUGCACUUAAGC